GGGGAGCAGGGAUGGGAUGACAUGGCAUGGCAUGACACGGCACAGCUCUGACAGGGACCCACGGUUGCGGAAGACGAAGCGUGGGUCCUCACCACUGACCAUGCGCCGGAGCUGCUCCUGGUCUGCCCCCUCCAAGCCCACUGCCAGCACUCGGACCCCUGCGCCAACAGCACCUUCAGCACCUGGCUGGAUCGCCCAAGGGGACCUCAUCCCAUGGGAACUUCAUCCCAUGAGGACCCCAUCCCAUAGGGUCCCUAUCCAACCUCACCCGCUGCCUUGGCAUCCCUGGCAGCAGUGAUGGCAUCAUCCCCGGAGGGGCCGUCGGCCAGCACUACCAGCACCGCCGGCACGCUGGGCCGCCGUCCCGCACCAGGGCUCAGCAGCACCACACAUCCCUUACCGGUGGCAGUAGUGACGGUGACUGGAGCGCUCUCCCGGCUGCCCACCAUGCUGGUGAUGCUGAUGUGGUAGCGCCGGCCCGGCUCCAGCCCUCCCAGGUCAUAGGAGUUGGCGGUGGCUGGAAGCUGCUGGCUGCGCUGGGGACCACCUGGUGGGGACAGAGAGGUGAGUGGCCAGGGGUUGGCAUGGAGACACAAGGCUUGG
RNAcentral lists this long non-coding RNA (603 nucleotides) under Gallus gallus (chicken). Its description in RNAcentral is "long non-coding RNA NONGGAT002161". The record is from RNAcentral. Lineage: Eukaryota; Metazoa; Chordata; Aves; Galliformes; Phasianidae.